This 962-nucleotide long non-coding RNA is filed under the name Chinchilla lanigera (long-tailed chinchilla). RNAcentral describes it as "lncRNA (ENSCLAG00000023887.1)". The record is from RNAcentral. Lineage: Eukaryota; Metazoa; Chordata; Mammalia; Rodentia; Chinchillidae.
AGGGAGGGUGAGGUCACAAACACUCAAACACUAACACCACAUGUCCUUUAUUACCACAGUGGAGCUCUUUACAAAUUAUUACUCAGCCAGGCCAAGGGAAAUGGCAGAAUGCUGUGCGUUUUCCUGAUCAGAUCUCGUGGUAUAGGUCUGUACAGCAUUAUGUCUCGUGGGCCCCUAGUCUUCCUCAAGAAGUGAGCCAGGAUCAGAAGAAAGACCUGUCUCUGAAUAUUCUGUUCGUGGAUAGCAUCCUACCAACAGUAGCUAGAGAUUUCAUUCUUCUGGUUUCCACUCAUACUACGUCCCCAACCACUCCUGGAGACCAGCUGGCAGAACAGGGGGCAGGGAAAUGGAGGCAAGUUUCCAAGGACAAAAGAUUUUCUAGACACAAGACCCAAACCAGGGCACCACUGCUGCUGAGUGGAUACGGAGCAGAACACAGACCAGAGCACGGACAAAGCAAGGAGGAGAACACGGAGCAGAGCACAGACCAGAACACGGACCAAAGCAAGGAGGAGAACACGGAGCAGAGCACGGAGCAGAGCACAGCCAGAGUGCCCUUUCCAUUGCUCCGUGGAUGAGCCAAGGCCACAGCUCCUUUAGCCAGAACAAAAUUAAGAAAUGCCAACAUCGUAUGCCGGUUCCACAUGAGGGGGAGAAGCGGGGAACUGGCUAACUGUGACUGUGAUGGGCAGGAAAAACAUCUCAGAGAAGCUUGCAUCUCAGGUGAGCAACACAUACGACACUGUUACAAUUCAAAAACACCGACGUAUAUAGCAGGUAUUAUGAAAAUGAGAACAGUAAAAGAAAUAAGCAAGCAUUCACACUCACGCCUUCUAAAAUAUUAAGGCCUCAAUUAACCGUCAUAGCCACUCUUCACUGAGAGCUUAGCGAGCGCCACGCCUAGCGUAAGGCGCCUGAUGCACAUGAACAACCCCAUGAAGCAGGCAUGUGCAUCACUCCCU